RNAcentral lists this ribosomal RNA (253 nucleotides) under uncultured bacterium. Its description in RNAcentral is "partial 16S ribosomal RNA". It matches the Rfam family "Bacterial small subunit ribosomal RNA", at positions 524 to 776 of the family's 1533-position model. The record is from RNAcentral.
UACAGAGGGGGCGAGCGUUGUUCGGAAUUACUGGGCGUAAAGGGCGCGUAGGCGGCCUUCUAAGUCGAACGUGAAAUCCCCGGGCUUAACCUGGGGGCUGCGUUUGAUACGUGCGGGCUUGAGUUCGGAAGAGGGUCGUGGAAUUCCCAGUGUAGAGGUGAAAUUCGUAGAUAUUGGGAAGAACACCGGUGGCGAAGGCGGCGACCUGGUCCGAUACUGACGCUGAGGCGCGAAAGCGUGGGGAGCAAACAGG